AGAAAUUGAAAGAGGAGGAGAGGAGGAGAGACCCACAGUUGAUCUCUGAGAAGUGAGUAGCUGGAGGCACCAGGAUACCAGCCAAGCCUAAAGGAUAAAGCAAAUCCCUGGACAUGGCUUUUGAUUCCAAGCUAAGAAGUGCAAGUAUUAACAGCAUCAGUCACAGUAGCUGAGUAUCUCCUGUGAGCUUCCAUAGGAAUUGAGCUUGUCUUUACAAGGUAAUCCUUCACCCUCCAACUCCAGCAUCAUGACCAGCUGUCUGAAUUGCUGGAAAAUGGCCCCUCAGUAAAACUAAGCUGAAGCCAAACCACAUCCUGAAGAUGAAACGCUUUUCUGGAGAAUCCACUGACACUUCAGAUAUAAGAGAAGCUCUUCCAAAUACAACUGCAACUGCCAAGAGAUUGAUGGACCAGAGAAUGGCCUCUUCAUUCCAGGCACUUCUAAAGUCCAAGUGGUCAAAUACCAGCCUCUUUUUACCAAUGUUCCCACCUGUUUCAUUCAGCCAAAUUUCAUUAGAUGAAGGAAGGUGGUGCAUUCUUGAGAUUGAGAAUACAGAUGAGAAGCAGGUUUGAAUGGUGAAGAAAUGAUGGACGCUGUUUGUCUCAAACAAGGACUCUAAUGAUACAACAGAACAAGUCACAAGAAAGCUUGCCUGGAAAACCAUACACUGGCCUCUUCGUGGUGAAGUCCUUCACAAUCCUUACAAACAUAGAAAAUAUUCAGCAAUUCGUUUGUUUGUUUUCCAGUCCACUCUUACUUGAGAAAAAUGCAAAACAUCAAAGACACAGAAAAACCACCAGUCUAUACAGCUUGCCCAUACUAAAUUGUUAUUCAUUUCAGAAGAGUGUACAGUUUCUUUCUGUAAGACUCUAUUAAACCAGUUACUCUACAAUAGCAAACAUUUUAGGCAAACCUAACCAUUGCUUCCCAUAAAGAUAUUUAUAUCUUUAAGUGGUAUCUGAUUCAUCCCUAAGAAAUAUGUUAUCAAGAUGUUUGUUUGUUUGUUUGUUUGUUCAUUUGUUUUUGAGAUGGAGUUUCACUCUUGUUGCCCAGGCUGGAGUGCAGUGGCAUGAUCUCGGUUCACUGCAACCUCUGCCUCCCGGUUCAAGCGAUUCUCCUGCCUCAGCCUCCCGAGUAGCUGGGAUUACUGGCACCCACCACCACUCCCAGCUAAUUUUUUGUAUUUUUAAUAGAGACGGGGUUUCACCAUGUUGGCCAGGCUGGUCUCAAACUCCUGACCUCAGGUGAUCCACUUGCCUCGACCUCCCAAAGUGCUGGGAUAACAGGCAUGAGCCAUUGCACCCGGCCGAAGAUUUUUGUUUUGACUGUUUUUUUCUGAACUACAGGGAAACGAAGGCUUUUAUGUUAUUGUCCCCCUUUUCUCACUAACUGGACUUCCUGUGACACGUGAAGACGCUAUGCAUGUUUAAUAAAUACACUUUGAAUUUAAUGCUCAAGGAAGAUAA
Molecule: long non-coding RNA, 1466 nt
Organism: Homo sapiens (human)
Lineage: Eukaryota; Metazoa; Chordata; Mammalia; Primates; Hominidae
Source: Ensembl